GUGCCAGCCGCCGCGGUAAUACCAGCCCCGCGAGUGGUUGGGACGUUUACUAGGCCUAAAGCGCCUGUAGCCGGCCCUGUAAGUCCCUCCCUAAAGGCCCGGGCUCAACCCGGGAACCGGGAGGGAUACUGCAGGGCUAGGGGGCGGGAGAGGCGGGGGGUACUCCCGGAGUAGGGGCGAAAUCCGUAGAUCCCGGGAGGACCACCAGUGGCGAAGGCGCCCCGCUAGAACGCGCCCGACGGUGAGAGGCGAAAGCGGGGGCAGCAAAAGGGAUUAGAUACCCCUGGAGUCCCGGCUGUAAACGAUGCCGGCUAGGUGUCGCGUGGGCUUAGAGCCCACGGGUCGCCGCAGGGAAGCCGUUAAGCCGGCCGCCUGGGGAGUACGGCCGCAAGGUGCAAACUUAAAGGAAUAGGCGGGGGAGCACCACAAGGGGUGGAACUGCGGCUCAAUUGGAGUCAACACCUGGAACGCUUACCGGGGGAGACCGCAGAUGACGGCCAGGCUAACGACCUUGCCUGACUCGCGGAGAGGAGUGCAUGGCCGUCGCCAGUUCGUGUUGUGAAAUGUCCGGUUAAGUCCGGCAACGAGCGAGACCCCCCCCCCUAGUUGGUACCCUGGCUCCGCGGCCAGGGCCACACUAGGGGGACUGCCGCCGUAAGGCGGAGGAAGGAGGGGGCCACGGCAGGUCAGCAUGCCCCGAAACCCCCGGGCCGCACGCGGGUUACAAUGGCAGGGACAGCGGGAUCCUGCCCCGAGAGGGGUGGGCAAUCCCUAAACCCUGCCUCAGUUGGGAUCGAGGGCUGCAACUCGCCUCGUGAACGAGGAAUCCCUAGUAACCGCAGGUCACCAUCUGCGGUGAAUACGUCCCUGCUCCUUGCACACACCGCCCGUC
Molecule: ribosomal RNA, 892 nt
Filed under: uncultured archaeon
Lineage: Archaea
Description: SSU rRNA
Rfam family: Archaeal small subunit ribosomal RNA
Source: RNAcentral